This 5374-nucleotide long non-coding RNA is filed under the name Solanum lycopersicum (tomato). RNAcentral describes it as "long non-coding RNA (SLYC_LNC001211)". The record is from RNAcentral. Lineage: Eukaryota; Viridiplantae; Streptophyta; Magnoliopsida; Solanales; Solanaceae.
GCCAUGGAGAUGGAAAGGAUGUGAUUCCACCGAUAACAAGUUGGUGUCUUGGAUUACUAUUUCAACUGUGGAAUUGAAAGCAAUUUUACUGAUCCUAGUGCCUACAUUUGUCCUUAGGUUGGCUGUAAGGGGUGCCCCUGUAAAAUUGAAUGGAGUAGGUGGUUUGUCUGGGAAAUCUGGAGUGUACACACCCUUAAUGUUGAAGUAAUGAGACUGAAGAAGUGCAGUUUGUGGCAUGAUAAAGGAAAUGUUGUUCAGAGAUGCUGUAAGCCUAGUUCCAUUUAGACAGGUGGGACAAGGAUUAAUUCCUAGGCCAACUGUAAACAAGAGGUGUCGAUCAACAUUUAGGGGAACGUUUGCUGGAUAUUUGGGAGUAUUUAGGCUUUUGAGUUUAAAGUUAUAGCUCAAAGCAAAGUCUGAGUCAUUUUGUGCAGGCAAGGUAGGAAGUUUUGGAAUCACGGUUUCUGGGAUUCCCUUGUACUGGAAAAUAGCAGUGGCAGUCUUGUUAUCCACACUGAUUGGAGCAUCCAUGAAGGCCCUUGCAGCCAUGAAGUAUCUUCCUGGAACUCGGUUGGCGCGAACCAGAACAUUUGUAGUCUGGCCUGGUGCAAUUAGAAUUGCGUCUGUGGUGAAUGGUUUCGUGUAGACUGCAUCAAUUUCUACCACUGUGAAGGUAUGGUUAGCCAGGGCAAAAAAGAGCUCAUCAUUGAGAGCAGCAUUGACAAUUCUCAACAGGUAUGUCUUUCCUUUUUCAACUUCCAUGGCAAAAGUAUCUGAAAAGAAAUUCAAACAUUGGAUUAUGUUGGAAGCAAAUACUCUUAACAACCAUAUAUGAUUGAAAUAUUCCACUCAAUAUCAAAAUCUUCCAUUCUUACGUUUCUCAGAACAUGGAAAAAGAGGCCCUGGCUUUCCAUUGAUCGUGUGAGCAUCAGACAUAUUAGGAGGAAUACCCAAUGCAUUUCCUUGUUUCUCAACUGCUUCAACAUCAGCAUUCCACCAUUCCCCUGCAUCACAAUCAGAUAGAAGCAUUGCUGUCAUUUAAUUUCUUUCAUUCUUUGCUACAAGAGAAGUUCAAGAAAUUAUGGUGGUGAAAUUCUAUGUAUAUUAACGAGUGCCAACGCUCACCUAGUACGAGUACUUCUUCCCUAUCUGGUUGAGGAAAAGGGAAGGGAGUGCUUUUUGUGGCAUUAUCACUAUUGCACCAUAGACAGUUGCCCUUAGCCAAAGAAUAUGUGCAUGCCACCAUAAGGUUCCUCUUUGUCCUGUUACAUUGAAAUCAUAAACAUAGCUAUUUCCUGUCUGGAUAGGGCAUUGAGUUAUGUAAGCUGGACCGUCUGCCCAACCAUUACGAUAUUGUUUCAAACCAUGCCUACAAGAAUUAGAACAAAAACAUUCUGUUUCAGCAUCUGAAAGUUGAGAGACUUCAAUUUUCAUCUACUUCUAAUUUUAUCUUACCAAUGGAUGGACAAGUUAUAUUGUACAUAGUUAGUAACAUUGAUUUGAACUCUAUCUCCUUCUCUAGCAUAUAUAGUUGGCCCUGGAAAUCCGCCAUUUACUGUAACCAUUUGUUUUGCAUUGCACAAUCUGCUCACAUUUGACAAUUUCACCUGUAAACCACAAAUAGUUUACCAUGAUGAAAAGAUUUCAACGAAAAGUAAACAAAAUUCAAAAAUUGAAAGUACUAACAUCAAAUUGAUAUUUCUUAAGGGCAGCCUCAACAGGUAGACAAAUGAAACAGAGAAAUCCAAAGGCAAGUAAGCCUAAAAAACUUGUCUGCUUUGUCAUUUCCUUAAUUGGCUUAGAAACUCUAUGACAAGUAUGUGGAAUGGGAUGAGACUAAGCAUAUUUAUAUACAAGGGAAAUGUCAUAUAAGUUGUUAAGGGAAAAGGAAGUUGUAAGAGAGAUAUAUUAGGUACAUAAAGUAUUUGAAUUUGCUGUUACUGCAAAGCCUUUAAGCAAUACAAAGAUGUAGACAUUUUUAAAGCCAUUGACUGACGUAGAGGCUAAAUUCAAAAUCCACCACAUUCAAGCUCUUAACAAAAAUAAAUAAAUGUUCGUUGUGCUAUUGUAGUCAUGUAAACCUACUAUGAAUAUCACCAUUUUCAUAUUUUUUUUAUGGCUAAUUUUAUUAUCUCUGACACUGAAAUAGCAACUUCAUUCAUUAGAAUUUUCUAUAGAUUUACUCUUCUCUCAACAAGCUGCUUUACUCUCUUUUUUUCUUGCAUGGUAUGUUAACUAAAAAAAAUAUAAUUUUAAUAACUCAGAAUGGUAAUUGAUGCCGACUCAAGCACUUUAAUGGCUUAAAAUCAAAAAUAAAUUAGAGCUCUUAAAUUUUUUUGAAUAAUAAUAAUACUUUUUUUUUAAUUUUAAAUCUAUUAUUCUAGUUUUCUUUUAAGAUGCGAAGUGUUUGGAAAUGCAUAUCUUAAAAAACUAUUUUGAGAUGCAAAGUUGUUUCUUUCUUUUUAUAUGCAAAAAUAUUUUAUUUUGUAAAUAGUACUUUUUCAUUUGUCUAAUUUUGGCUUGAUAUAGUGUUUUAAGUUUAAUAAGAAAUAGCAAUAUUUUUUAAAUCGUAUAAUCUUAAAAUAAAGAUUAAAACUAACUUUAUAAUUUUGUUCUAUUUUUUAAGAGUAGUUGUAAUAAUCUUACUAUUGUUAAAUAGAAUCUUUAAAUUUGGAGGCCUAAAGUAAGUGUCUUAUUUUUCAAAUACAUAUAGUAAUCAUAGAGGUGUCAAAAUAGGUUAUCCUAACGGGCUAGAGAGUUAAAUGGAUUGAAACGGGCUGAUCCCUUUAAUUAAAGGGCCAAUAAAAUAGCGGCUCAACCCAAUUCUAAACAGGCCAUGGGUUGGGACGGGGUGACCCUUCAAUCAAAAAAUGAACAAUAUUACUCUCUUAAAAAGAGUACCGAAUGUUGACGCCUAUGAACACGACAUCAAUUCAUAAAGAAUUCACUUAUAAAUCACACACUUCAAUGAAUACUUACAAAAAUACAUUUGUGAAUCACACACUUUGGUGAAUACUUAUAAAAAUACAUAAUAGUCAACGUAAGAUUUAGCGGAUAAAUGUUGAUCAUUUCACCAUUUCUCCCACAAAAACUAGCUGGUUUAAAAGAUUUCCAGCAACACAAGGCAGCCUAAAUACUAAACAAAUCUAAAUAUCUAAAUAUUACAUGACGCAUUAAUUAAUGUUUUAUAACUCCGCUUCUACUUCCACUGUCGAUCACAUUUGAAUCAACAUGUGAUAUUAUUUUCUUAAGAAGUUCAUCUUCAUCUACAGUUCACCAUGCAAGAUGAUAUUUCAAAAUAUUUGAUUUUUUAUUUUUCAAAAUAUUUAUUCAUAAAAAUUUUACAAGUAAAACACUAUUAAAAAUAUAUAUAAAAAUAUUUUAAAAUAUUAAUAGCCCACGGACUGGCCUCUGAGAUUUGGGGGUGGGCCUAAGAGGCCAACGGGCCAAAUAGGGCGGGCUAAAAAGCGUCGUUCAUAAAUGGGCCAAAAAUAUUAAGCUCAACUCCACUUAUUUCAAGGGUUGGGUUGGGCCGACCUUGCGGGCCAAACCCACUUUGACGGCUCUACAUAUAGAGCCGUCUAACUUAACCCCGCACUAUAACUUUUUGGAGGUAAAUCACAAUCAAUUCUUAAUGGUAUUCCCUCUGUCCACAAUUGUUUGAUAAGUAUACUAAAAAUAGAUGUUUAAGAUUAAUUGUCAAUUUAAACAAUCAAGAAAUAAUUAGUAUUUUUUUCAAUUUUGCCCUUAAUAAUCACUCCAUUUUGUUCAAUUAAAAAGUUAUGUAGAUUUUUGAUAUCCUUGGUAUAAUUAGGUUAUAUUAAUCAAAUUACACUUUGUAUUAAAUUUUUCUUGGGAGGAGUGCAUGAACCUUACCAUGACAAAUAAUUAGAGAUAUAGGGAGUAUUUUACAAGUAAAAUGAACCGCUAAUAAAUACGUGAAGUUCAGUAAAAAUUAAUAUAGUACACCUUUUUAAGAUCAUUUUGGGAAUGAAAAAUGUUGAACCGACAAAGAUACGGUACACUUACAUUUAAACAUUGUUCUACGUUACUAAUGUUUUCAAUUUUAUUUGUUAUUUCACCAGAUGUUUUAAACUUCAAGGUGCUAGUACAAUUUUCCCCUAAAAACCAUGGUCAAAUUCUUCAUAGAAUUAGAGUUAUAUAUGCAUAAAAUUAAUCCCUAUUUCACUUGCAUCACUUUCCAAAUCAGGCACUACUAGAAAAAAUCAGAAUUUCCAAUAGAAAAUUCUGGUAAUGUCUUCCCCUUAAGUUUCUGUUCAACUUUUUAAGACUUCCAUUACCUGAAUAAAUACUCAAAGAACUGUUUGUGCAGUCGUGUAAUUUUUUUGUUCUCAAGCUUGAGGGGAUUUUUUUGGGCUUUUGCUCUAAAUUUACACAGUUUUGUAGCAAUUUUACACAGGUUUGCUAUAAUUGUUUAAACUGUCAAAGUCAAGUAGUAUCAACAGACUAUAUUUCAAUCCAAGUAGAUAGGGAAGUCCCUAAAAAACAACAGCCCAAAGUCACAUUUUUAUGUGUGGACCUUUAUUACAACUCAAAUUACAUUUAAAUUCCUCCUUCAUUUUUCCAAUUUUGCAUAUUUUUCCUAUUCACACUGUCUAAAGUGUAUAUAUAUAUAAUCAUCAAAGUCUUUUGUUUCCUUAUGGGAAAAUAAAACAAAUCUGUAAACUUGCACAAGAAAUCCAUCUGAACAUAUAAAAGUAAAGCCUUAGCAUGAUGGAAGGUCCUUUGGUGGAGGCAGAAUACUAUAAUCUGAUCCUGCUCCAUUUUCCACUAAAAAUGCUGUUUUCAGUCCCCAGCCUGUGUGCAACUCCAGAUGACAGUGGAAAAACCACACCCCUUCACAAAAAAUUAGGAUAUGUUUAACAAUAAAUUUUCAAAACAAUAGAGAAGUUUUAACUAAAUUUGGCCGAAAACUGGGUACCUGGAUUAUCAGCUCUGAAUCGAAUAGCAGUCCAACCACCAGUUGGAACACCUACAGUAUUUCUUUCAAUAGGAUCAAUCAGGUUGUAUUUUGCUGGAUCUUUUUUGAGGUCAAAGUUUCCAAUGCCAGUUCCAACCACAAAGAAAUUGUAGCCAUGGAGAUGGAAAGGAUGGGAUUCCACCGAUAACAAGUUGGUGUCUUGGAUUACUAUUUCAACUGUGGAAUUGAAAGCAAUUUUACUGAUCCUAGUGCCUACAUUUGUCCUUAGGUUGGCUGUAAGGGGUGCCCCUGUAAAAUUGAAUGGAGUAGGUGGUUUGUCUGGGAAAUCUGGAGUGUACACACCCUUAAUGUUGAAGUAAUGAGAUUGAAGAAGUGCAGUUUGUGGCAUGAUAAAGGAUAUGUUGUUCAAAGAAGCUGUUAGCCUAGUUCCAU